UCUUAUCAAGAGAAGCCGAGGGACUGGCCCGUCGACGCUUCAGCAACCAGCCAUUUAUGGUCAGGUGCUAAUUCCAGCAGGUGUAAACCUGGUAGAUAAGG
RNAcentral lists this non-coding RNA (101 nucleotides) under uncultured Sporosarcina sp. RNAcentral describes it as "SAM riboswitch (S box leader)". It matches the Rfam family "SAM riboswitch aptamer (S box leader)". Rfam says of the family: The SAM riboswitch is found upstream of a number of genes which code for proteins involved in methionine or cysteine biosynthesis in Gram-positive bacteria. The SAM riboswitch acts at the level of transcription termination control. Lineage: Bacteria; Bacillati; Bacillota; Bacilli; Caryophanales; Caryophanaceae. The record is from RNAcentral.